AGACUCCACGCCCGUGGGAGUAGUGAGAGGCAUAGGAUGGGACAGAAGGAGAUGCUAAACAGUGAUGCAGAAGCAGCGAAGACCUCCGCAAUCCUGCAGGGAAGCUUGGGAGCUGGUACGGCCCUGCAGAGAUGCACUGAGGGAAGCCAAGCUGCCAUGUUGUAAGCUGCCCUAUGAAGGGACCCACAUGGCAAAGAAUGGAGAAUGACCCCAGCCAGCCAAGAACUCUCAGCCUACCGGCCCAUGAGGAACUGAAUCCUGCCAACAGCGAUGUGAGUGAACUUGGAAGUGGAUCCUUCUCCAGUGGCACCAUCAGGUGAGACUAUAGCCCCAGCCAACAUGGGAGUUGUUUCAGAAGAAAGGAAGUAUUAAGCCAGAUGCUUUACAGACUUUAUCUUGGACCUCAAAUUCAUUCUGUGAGAUACAUGUUGGUAUCUCCAUUGUGUAGAUAAGAAAACCAAGACUCAAAAAGGUGAAAACUUACUAAAUGUCAUAUGAUGAAUGAAUAGAAGAGAGGGGAUUUGAACUCAGGACUGAUAACACAAAAGCCCACACUCUGGUUAUUGCAGAAAUAUACUGUGUUUUUAUUUCCACGUUUCCAUCAGAACUUAAAAAUAAAAAUGGACAGUUGCUCAAUUAUCCCACUAACAAACAUAUGGCAGCAGCAAGAACUGGGACCACAGCACCAUGCUAACCAAGGCCAGGCCUUCCCUGAGUUGGUAUACACUCCCGUACAGCAGCAUCAGAAGCUGCUCAGAGCCUGCAACAUCCUCUUGAGGCAGAAUCCUCCAUGUGCAAAGUGAUCUAAUGGUCAGUUUUUAAAAGAAAAUAGCUGAAUCUGAUGCCAGUAUGGGCUAAGUACUACUUCUAAGAACCUUACAUGUCUUAACUCACUUAAACAAUCCUACAAGAAAGGCACUAUUAUAGUCAUCCAAUUUACGGAUGAGGAGACCAAGGCACAGAGAAUUUAGAUAAUUUUCUCCCAGACAUUCAGCUAUAAGGAGCAGAGCCAGGAUUUAAACUCUGACAAUUUGUCUCCACAGUCGCAUACAAGACCCCCAGAAUUCUCUCCUUGGUCCCAGGCUAUCAUGUUGCCUGGGUUCCCAAUACAGCACUGGGUGUAGCUGGCCUUGGUUCCAGGCCUUCACCUUCUGGAUUCAACCUGGCUACCAACACCCUUGAUUCUGACUUUCUCCAUUCACCUCCUCGUUCCCAGUUCCCAGCUAGCCCUUUCUGCCUUGACCCCAUCUGCCCUGGCUCUUAAGCUGUUCACACCUGCAUCCCAUCCCAUGCCUGCACCCCAGCCCUCACCUGCCUCCUGACCUGUCUUACAGCUCACCAUCCAGCCCGCCUGAGGCUCUGCCCACUGACAGGCUACUCCCAGGACAAUACUAGCUCCCCAGGACAAGCACUACACCCAGACGGCAUGUCAUUCAACAAGUCGGGGGCAGGCUUAAGGUGAAAAAUCAUCCCAAUUCUGGAGAUAUUAUCUGAAAAAAAAAGACUGUUUUCAGGAAACAAUCUUCCCAUCUGUGGUGAUUUUUAAAAUAUAGUUCCCAAAUUUUAUGUGGGAAAGGAAAGUAGCAAUAUAGAUGCAGGAAGAGCAUUACUGUGUGGAUAAAAAGAUGAUGUAUGCAAAUGAACAUGCUCAGCCUAGAACUUAAAUUAAAGUUACUGCCUGAUAUGGUAGGUACUGUGGUCUGAAUGUGUCCCCCAGAGUUCAUGUGUUGGAAACUUAAUCUCCAGUGCAACAAUGUUGAGCAAUGGAACCUUUAAGAAGUGACUGGGUCAGGAGAGUUCUGCCCUCAUGAAUGAAUUAAUGUCAUUAUUGCAAGAGUUAGUUAUUGCAGGAGUAGGUUCCUGAUUAAAAAGUGAGUCCACCCCCACUUCUCUCUCUUUUUCUGUCACGCACAUAUGCACUCUCUUGCCCUUCUACCUUCCACCAUGUGAUGACACAGCAAGAAGGCCCUCACCAGAUGCAGGCCUCUCAACCUUGGACUUUCCAGCCUCCAGAAUUGUAAGAAAUAAAUCUCUAUUCUUUAUAAAUUACCUAGUCUCUGGCAUUCUGUUACAGCAGCACAAAAUGAAUUAAGACAGUAGGAAAGAUCAUUGACACUGUUACAGACCUCUAAGGCAUGAUGAAAAAGCAAAUAUGCCCAUGUUUAUGCAAAUAGCAGAGUCAGUUAAAGAGGCCAUAACAUUGAUCAUAUGGGACUUCAAUAGCCCUGAAAUGGAUUAGAACAAGAAUUAUGGGAUGGUAAGGAGAGGCCACAGAGCUAGCAGUGAUCAGAAGCUCUUUUCCAGGAGACUUUGUUGAGCAAUCAAAAAGAUCAUGGGCUAUUGGGGGCAGCUAUCUGAAAAGUUGAAUGCAAUGAAGGAUGAAGGAUGGGGCUAAAA
RNAcentral lists this long non-coding RNA (2397 nucleotides) under Homo sapiens (human). RNAcentral's name for it is "HSALNT0361411". The record is from RNAcentral. Lineage: Eukaryota; Metazoa; Chordata; Mammalia; Primates; Hominidae.